Molecule: ribosomal RNA, 159 nt
Filed under: Hydnum rufescens
Lineage: Eukaryota; Fungi; Basidiomycota; Agaricomycetes; Cantharellales; Hydnaceae
Description: 5.8S ribosomal RNA
Rfam family: 5.8S ribosomal RNA
About the family: 5.8S ribosomal RNA (5.8S rRNA) is a component of the large subunit of the eukaryotic ribosome. It is transcribed by RNA polymerase I as part of the 45S precursor that also contains 18S and 28S rRNA.
Source: RNAcentral
CAACUUUUAACAACGGAUCUCUUGGCUCUCGCAUCGAUGAAGAACGCAGCGAAAUGCGAUAAGUAAUGUGAAUUGCAGAAUUCAGUGAAUCAUCGAAUCUUUGAACGCACCUUGCGCUCUCUGGUAUUCCGGGGAGCACACCUGUUCGAGUGUCAUUAA